CCUACGGGAGGCAGCAGUGGAGGAUAUUUCACAAUGGGGGAAACCCUGAUGCAGCGACGCCGCGUGAGUGAAGGAGUAUUUCGGUAUGUAAAGCCCUAUCAGCAGGGGAGAAAAUGACAGUACCUGACCAAGAAGCCGCGGCGAACUCCGUGCCAGCAGCCGCGGUAAUGCGGAGGGGGCAAGCGUUAUCCGGAUUUACUGGGAGUAAAGGGAGCGUAGACGGUUAUGUAAGUCUGGAGUGAAAGCCCGGGGCCCAACCCCGGGACGGCUUUGGAAACUGCGUAACUGGAGUACAGGAGGGGCAGGCGGAAUUCCUGGUGUAGCGGUGAAAUGCGUAGAUAUCAGGAGGAACACCGGCGGCGAAGGCGGCCUGCUGGACUGAAACUGACGUUGAGGCUCGAAAGCGUGGGGAGCAAACAGGAUUAGAUACCCCUGUAGUC
This 440-nucleotide ribosomal RNA is filed under the name uncultured bacterium. RNAcentral describes it as "partial 16S ribosomal RNA". It matches the Rfam family "Bacterial small subunit ribosomal RNA", at positions 338 to 795 of the family's 1533-position model. The record is from RNAcentral.